Molecule: long non-coding RNA, 253 nt
Filed under: Mus spretus (western wild mouse)
Lineage: Eukaryota; Metazoa; Chordata; Mammalia; Rodentia; Muridae
Description: predicted gene 16351 (ENSMSPG00010005985.1)
Source: RNAcentral
GAGAAAGCUUGUUGAUCUUGGAUAAUCUUUGUGUCAACUUGAUGGAUUUAAAAUAAGCAUUGUCUUUCAGCAACAUGAUAAAGGACUGAAACAGACAGUGGCCUUCAAGUGAUGUGGAGAGGACCACUUGAAUGGCUGAUCCUUAAGAACACGAGGACAGCCAAAGAAUGCUGAAGACUUCAAGAGGAGUCGAUCUUUCUGGUGAUACUUGGAAGUUGCUUGAAGUUCCACCAUAAAUAAAAGGUCAAUGGCG